This 650-nucleotide ribosomal RNA is filed under the name uncultured bacterium. RNAcentral's name for it is "bacterial SSU rRNA". It matches the Rfam family "Bacterial small subunit ribosomal RNA", at positions 42 to 675 of the family's 1533-position model. The record is from RNAcentral.
UCAGGCCUAACACAUGCAAGUCGAGCGGACAGAAGGGAGCUUGCUCCCGGAUGUUAGCGGCGGACGGGUGAGUAACACGUGGGUAACCUGCCUGUAAGACUGGGAUAACUCCGGGAAACCGGAGCUAAUACCGGAUAGUUCCUUGAACCGCAUGGUUCAAGGAUGAAAGACGGUUUCGGCUGUCACUUACAGAUGGACCCGCGGCGCAUUAGCUAGUUGGUGGGGUAAUGGCUCACCAAGGCGACGAUGCGUAGCCGACCUGAGAGGGUGAUCGGCCACACUGGGACUGAGACACGGCCAAGACUCCUACGGGAGGCAGCAGUAGGGAAUCUUCCGCAAUGGACGAAAGUCUGACGGAGCAACGCCGCGUGAGUGAUGAAGGUUUUCGGAUCGUAAAGCUCUGUUGUUAGGGAAGAACAAGUGCGAGAGUAACUGCUCGCACCUUGACGGUACCUAACCAGAAAGCCACGGCUAACUACGUGCCAGCAGCCGCGGUAAUACGUGGGUGGCAAGCGUUGUCCGGAAUUAUUGGGCGUAAAGGGCUCGCAGGCGGUUUCUUAAGUCUGAUGCGAAAGCCCCCGGCUCAACCGGGGAGGGUCAUUGGAAACUGGGAAACUUGAGUGCAGAAGAGGAGAGUGGAAUUCCACGUG